RNAcentral lists this unclassified non-coding RNA (230 nucleotides) under Hevea brasiliensis (rubber tree). Lineage: Eukaryota; Viridiplantae; Streptophyta; Magnoliopsida; Malpighiales; Euphorbiaceae. The record is from RNAcentral.
UUUCUCUUCUCCACCGACGGGAGGCGUUCUUUUCCUCCUCUUCUUCACGAUUCUUCUCGAAUUUCUUCUAUAUAAAAGUGGGGUUCUCGUUAUUGAUCCUUUUGAUUUCUUAUUCAAGCUGUUCGUAUGGGUGAAAACGAUUCAGAAAGCUCUGAAAGUGCCAAACCCAAGAAUGUAUCUGAAAAUUCCGACGGAGGUGAUGAAUUGACGGGUUUAGAGGAAGAUUCGAG